This 497-nucleotide ribosomal RNA is filed under the name uncultured bacterium. RNAcentral describes it as "partial 16S ribosomal RNA". It matches the Rfam family "Bacterial small subunit ribosomal RNA", at positions 28 to 507 of the family's 1533-position model. The record is from RNAcentral.
GAUGAACGCUGGCGGCGUGCCUAAUACAUGCAAGUCGAGCGAACAGACGAGGAGCUUGCUCCUUUGACGUUAGCAGCGGACGGGUGAGUAACACGUGGGUAACCUACCUAUAAGACUGGGAUAACUUCGGGAAACCGGAGCUAAUACCGGAUAAUAUUUCGAACCGCAUGGUUCGAUAGUGAAAGAUGGCUCUGCUAUCACUUAUAGAUGGACCUGCGCCGUAUUAGCUAGUUGGUAAGGUAACGGCUUACCAAGGCAACGAUACGUAGCCGACCUGAGAGGGUGAUCGGCCACACUGGAACUGAGACACGGUCCAGACUCCUACGGGAGGCAGCAGUAGGGAAUCUUCCGCAAUGGGCGAAAGCCUGACGGAGCAACGCCGCGUGAGUGAUGAAGGUCUUCGGAUCGUAAAACUCUGUUAUUAGGGAAGAACAAACGUGUAAGUAACUGUGCACGUCUUGACGGUACCUAAUCAGAAAGCCACGGCUAACUACGUG